Molecule: ribosomal RNA, 253 nt
Filed under: uncultured bacterium
Lineage: Bacteria
Description: partial 16S ribosomal RNA
Rfam family: Bacterial small subunit ribosomal RNA
Source: RNAcentral
UACAGAGGUCUCAAGCGUUGUUCGGAUUCACUGGGUUUAAAGGGUGCGUAGGUGGGCAGUUAAGUCAGUGGUGAAAUCUCCGGGCUCAACCCGGAAACUGCCAUUGAUACUAUCUGUCUUGAAUAUCGUGGAGGUAAGCGGAAUAUGUCAUGUAGCGGUGAAAUGCUUAGAUAUGACAUAGAACACCAAUUGCGAAGGCAGCUUACUACCCGAAUAUUGACACUGAGGCACGAAAGCGUGGGGAUCAAACAGG